Molecule: long non-coding RNA, 4302 nt
Organism: Clupea harengus (Atlantic herring)
Lineage: Eukaryota; Metazoa; Chordata; Actinopteri; Clupeiformes; Clupeidae
Source: Ensembl
GGACUGCCACACACCCUCCUCCAGCCACUGAACAUUUGCACUAGACUGUUUUUUUACUACUGUAUUUAUCCCACUUAUAGAGUAUUCAUAUUUAUACCUAUUUAUAUACUUAUCUUGUCUAUAUUCAUUGUACUUAUAUCAUACCUCUUAACUUACUCUGUAUAUAACAUUACUACUACCUUUUUCAUUUCAUUUUUCUCAUUUUCAUUUCACUUAUACUUACACCAGCACUUAAUAUAUACUUAUCAUAUCUGCACUACCCACUUCUAUUGCUGCUAUUCUUCUAUCAAUACUGUUCAUACUCCAUAUCUUAUUCCUUACUGUACAUAUCUUAUUUAUUUACAUAUUCCACUUUACAUAUGCACAUACUCUGCACUUUUAGUGCUUUUUUGCAUUUCUGGUUAGAUGCUAAACUGCAUUUCGUUGUCUCAGUACUUGUACUCUGUGCAAUGACAAUAAAGUUGAAUCUAGUCUAAUCUUAUCAAGGUUCGGUGAUACAUACACUAGCCCAGUGGUCACCAACCUUUUUUGGCCAAAGAUCACAACCUCUGCCUUGGUGACAGGCAAGAUCUACCUAUUGAGGCGUUGAGAAAAAAAGACUGUCCAGACUCCAGACUGUACUUACAACUUAACUUUAUUUAGCCUAAUUGUAAUUGAAUGAAAUUAAACACUUUGGUCCAGCUUUCAAAUUGAUGUGGCCAAGAACACACUAAAUCAUUUAUUUCAGUGCAACAUAAAAAGGAACAUAUUUGUUAACCGCACACAAUAUGAACAAGAAAAAACACAUUUGCAAUGAGCAGGCUGGAUAUGAACUGCUUUAUUUAUCAACUGAAGUUACAACACAACACGGACAAUCUUUGUUUUCAGAUCAUUUGACAGUUGUUUUGAGGCCCCCCAUGUUGCCACUCUUCAGAGGAGAAUCAAGGAGAAGCACAUCUUGCAAUUGGCUACCUUAGAUAGUUUUUCUGAUGAUUGAAUGCACCUUUCUAUGGAAUUGAAGGCUUAACAAGCUAAUCAGACUAAUUAUGUGUUGCAAUUAUUUAGUAUUGAGUAGUUACAGGUAUUCAGAUCAUGAAAAUGAUUAGGGUGCCUAAAUAUUUGCACAGCCUAUUUUACGACGACAGUACGACAGUAUGCGUGCAUAUUAAUAUUUCGAAAACCAACGCGGUAAUUGGAAUGAAGUGGGAGUGGCCGAUAACUAACAUAAGCGCAAACGUACUCAUGUAACGUGUCACCUUUAACAUUAAUAUUUAGAAACACGUUGCAGUGUUAAACGAGUCGUAGAAGUUAAAAUAGACAAAUAUCUGCCUGGAAAACCGUUAGUUUGGGUAAGCUAAUACAUAACGUUAAUCUAUAAAUAGACUUAGGAUAUCGUUUUUUUUAACAAACUGGCCGAUAACCAACAUAACAACGACAUCCAAGAGAACUCGAGGAUGUUAUGCACGCGAGUUGAGCCUAGUUGCGAGCUGUCAGACGAGCUGUCAGAAUGUUGGAAAUCUCUCUACAUUGGGCAGACAUUCUGCAACUUUACCCAAUAUUAAGUGACAGUACCCGACAAUGACCAACAAACACCAACUGCUGCUGCACGCUGACCCAACUGUUGGUGUUUGUUGGCGUUUGUUGGAGAAUGUUGGCGUUUGUCGGGGCAGUGUGCAAGCUGCUUUAGAAGGGGCAUUUAGUGGGAAGGGCUACAUUUGUGAGAAAUCGUUGGUGAUUACGUUCACAUCAACUCUACGGACAUCCUCGGAUUUAAAUAGCUGGCGUUCAUGAAUCAGGCGGAGAUCUUUUCUGACUUUGGUCUUCCGAAGUCCGUAAGAAAACAUUUCAGAAGACACUUCAGAAAAUGUUCAAAUAUUUUUUUCUUUUUUCUGUUUUAAUUUUUUUUUAAUAAUUUUGGAGAUCGACAGGGAAGGUCUUCGAGAUCGACACGUCGAUCGCGAUCGACGGGUUGGCGACCUCUGCACUAGCCUAUUUACAAGGAAAUGACUAAAUUGAUAAAGCGGUGAUGAAUGGUUGACACAUAAUCGGAUUUUAUGACACGCCUCAUGAUAAAGACAGUAUUUUAUGGUCUUAUCUUUCCUCCACCUUCCACCACCCACUGACUGAGGUUCUGUGGAAUUGGUGUUUCCAAGACAGUAUUUUAUUGUUUUUGUGGACCUUGAAGUUGUAUACUGACAUCAGCAAGCAAACUCCAGUCCUGUGCUUUGCCCCAUUUGUAUUUUUCUGCCCCUCUUGCACAAAAUAAAUCCGACUUUUCCUGUCAUUAACUGGCAAAGAGUUAACAAUUUAUUGUCAAACAGACACACGAAUGAUUCUAGAACCCGUGUAGCAACCCUGGCUAAGGCUAGUUUUACAUCCAGACAAAAUAAUCCAUUUGCCUCCUCUCCAGUAAUGUACCCUAACCCAUUUCCAACUGCCUCCUAGCCCAGACUCCAUUAUUCCACUGCCUAAUGAUAUCCCAAUGCUGUAAUGCGCCUUCUGUAUGUUGAACUGCUUCUACUGGACGUCAUUUGUGGCUCAAACAAUGAAUGGAGCCUAACCCUAACCCUAACCCUGAUCCAGUGUCGGAACCUAACCCUAACCCUAACCCUAAUCCAGUGUCAGAGCCUAACCCUAACCCUAACCCUGAUCAAGUGUCGGAGCCACUAGAUGUUUUCCUUUCAGGUGAAAGAAGUAGAACGCAGCCCGGGGCCGGGGGGAAGAGGGAGUACAAUUUGUUUUCUUCAUGAGACAAUAUUCCCUUACAGCACACAAAAGCUUCAUUAAAACCCUUAGGGCUGUUAGACUUUUUUAGGUAGUCUGACAGGCCUUGAUGUUUUUGUAUAUUUCCUCUAACUAAAAACACUGAUGGCAAUGGCAUAUAUGUAAAAGAUUAAAGGUUUCUGGGGGUGUUCUUUGUAUGACUCUAUGACAUAAACUCGCAGAGUUUUAAAGGCAUACUGACAACAAGAACAAAAAACUAAAUAUUGAUUUAGACCCUAGAGGGAUCAUACAACUGGGGUGCACAAGCUUGUUUUGGACAUCAGGAGAGAACAAAAUGGGAGGUGGGGGAGCAUAUCAAUUGCCCUUGCUGUUGUGGAUAAGUAUAAUUUUCAACAAUAUCAACAACUUGGCAGAUAAGAGUGAAGCAUGGGCCUACCCCCAUUCCACCAGUUCUCCCUUACGGAUAGAAACACUUUUACAAUUGUAUCCAAAAUACAUCGAUUUCAAUUAGGUAUGAUACUCAACAUUUUGAUUAAUGUGGAACAGCCAAUAUGUUCUAUUAUCACUACUGCUAAGUUUUUCGAUUUAAGCCUCAAUACACAACACCAUAAACCAUGUGAUGAGCUGAACCACAAAACAUUUACUAUAGUUGCUUUCAAUGGUACAAUACAAAAUCACCAUCCGCAGGGAAACUCUCAGUGCGAAAGAUUUAAUUGCAUUAUGCACAACAUGCUGCGGUCCCUCCAAGCUAACAAGAAGAAGAACUUGAAAGAGCACCUGCCUGAACUGGUGAUGGCAUACAAUAGCCACAUUCAUUCAUCUACGGGUUACUCUCCGUUCUAUUUGCUUUUUGGCAGAGAUGCGUGACUGCCAAGAGAUAUUCUUGGGGGAAUGGAUUUCGACGACAGUGGGUCAGAGAAUCUGGAUGACUGGGUGUUAAAUCAUCAUGAGAGACUGCGGAUGGCAGCGGAUGCAGCACGGGCAGCGAUGCAAGGCGCCUCCAAGCGACGCAAAAGGCGCUAUCAUCAUACAAUGAAAAUGAUGAUGAUAUUUAGAUAUGGUUUAAUAAAAAGUGUUAAAUUACACAUGAAUGAGUGCAGCUUUAGAGGCACGAGAUUUCCCAGGUUUGUUAUCAUCUUGGUCACACCAGUAGGAGUGGUCAAACCUCUCGUUUGGAAUCUCAACCGUACAGUUCUUCGCAUUCCGAAGUACAUCCCAGAAGUGGUCCAAUCCCUCUCCUUUGCGUUUAUGUAUGGAUACUGUGGAACAUAUUAUUUAGCUGAUUUACACAUAGCGAGUUCAAUUAAUUUGACUCAGAGACAAAUCAACCCUCAAUUUUUUUUUUCUCUCUUGAACAUCAUAACCGUAAACAUGCUCAAACAGCACAGUAAUAACAGACUCACCUCCCGGAAAAUUGCAGCCAAUGCCAACAACGGCGAUUUCAUCAGCGUCGUCAUCCAUUCUGCAACCCGUAGUUCAGAUGAUAGGCGACUUACAAACAGAAGCGCGUGUUUUGAAUAGGAAAGUGGUAUCAGAAAACUCUGAGGUUGAGAUGCUGAAACCGGUUAGUAAUUCACCCACCUUUUAAAGUAGGCUAUC